This 253-nucleotide ribosomal RNA is filed under the name uncultured bacterium. Its description in RNAcentral is "partial 16S ribosomal RNA". It matches the Rfam family "Bacterial small subunit ribosomal RNA", at positions 524 to 776 of the family's 1533-position model. The record is from RNAcentral.
UACGUAGGGGGCAAGCGUUGUCCGGAUUUACUGGGCGUAAAGAGCGUGUAGGCGGCCAAACAGGUCCGUUGUGAAAACUGGAGGCUCAACCUCCAGACGUCGACGGAAACCGUAUGGCUAGAGUCCGGAAGAGGAGAGUGGAAUUCCUGGUGUAGCGGUGAAAUGCGCAGAUAUCAGGAAGAACACCUAUGGCGAAAGCGGCUCUCUGGAACGGUACUGACGCUGAGACGCGAAAGCGUGGGGAGCGAACAGG